AAGUCGUAACAAGGAAGCGAGUGAGUUCAUCACACGAGACUAUCUGGAAGCAAUUCCUAACAAUUGUACUCGCUGCGUCAGGCAAACCCUUUCUGCUUCAUCAGAUCGUCGCUCAUCGAUCUGCGAGUGGAAUAGAAACACAAAUUUCACCCCCUUUUUGCUAGUUGACUUUUAUAUGUUGUCUGAUUCAUACUUAAUUGUAUGGGCCAUUCACACGUUUAUUAUUUGAACGUUAAAAUUACAACUCUUAGCAAUGGAUAUCUUGGUUCUC
Molecule: unclassified non-coding RNA, 271 nt
Filed under: fungal sp.
Lineage: Eukaryota; Fungi
Description: partial internal transcribed spacer region
Source: RNAcentral